Molecule: ribosomal RNA, 472 nt
Filed under: uncultured bacterium
Lineage: Bacteria
Description: partial 16S ribosomal RNA
Rfam family: Bacterial small subunit ribosomal RNA
Source: RNAcentral
GACGAACGCUGGCGGCGUGCUUAACACAUGCAAGUCGAACGCUGAAGCUUGGUGCUUGCACUGGGUGGAUGAGUGGCGAACGGGUGAGUAAUACGUGAGUAACCUGCCCUUGACUCUGGGAUAAGCCUGGGAAACUGGGUCUAAUACUGGAUACGACAUGUCACCGCAUGGUGGUGUGUGGAAAGGGUUUUACUGGUUGUGGAUGGGCUCACGGCCUAUCAGCUUGUUGGUGGGGUAAUGGCUCACCAAGGCGACGACGGGUAGCCGGCCUGAGAGGGUGACCGGCCACACUGGGACUGAGACACGGCCCAGACUCCUACGGGAGGCAGCAGUGGGGAAUAUUGCACAAUGGGCGGAAGCCUGAUGCAGCGACGCCGCGUGAGGGAUGACGGCCUUCGGGUUGUAAACCUCUUUCAGCACGGAAGAAGCGAAAGUGACGGUACGUGCAGAAGAAGCGCCGGCUAACUACGUG